UGCCUACGGGGCGCAGCAGUGAGGAAUAUUGGUCAAUGGGCGAGAGCCUGAACCAGCCAAGUCGCGUGAGGGAAGACGGUCCUAUGGAUUGUAAACCUCUUUUGCCGGGGAGCAAAAAGCGGUACGUGUACCGCAUCGAGAGUACCCGGAGAAAAAGCAUCGGCUAACUCCGUGCCAGCAGCCGCGGUAAUACGGAGGAUGCGAGCGUUAUCCGGAUUUAUUGGGUUUAAAGGGUGCGUAGGCGGACAGUCAAGUCAGCGGUAAAAAUGCGGUGCUCAACGCCGUACAGCCGUUGAAACUGGCAG
Molecule: ribosomal RNA, 305 nt
Filed under: uncultured bacterium
Lineage: Bacteria
Description: bacterial SSU rRNA
Rfam family: Bacterial small subunit ribosomal RNA
Source: RNAcentral